GACAUUUCAAGCGGUAAUUAACACUAUAGACCCCAUCAAUAAAAUGGGUGCAUAGCUUACCUGCAAAAACAACGAGCAAGCUAGAAAGCGGAGGAAGCUGAGAAAUUUUUAGCAAUAUGGAGGAGACUCAGAUCACUGACGAGCAAUCUGUCAGGUCUCUCGCAGUGGGAGGGAACUCUGGCACUAGCAAGGCAUUUUGCAAGUGUGGCGAAGGGUGGAAAUGUGUCAUCACAAGGACUGAAGGACCUGAUUCCGGCAAGGCCUUCUUCAAAUGUGGUGAAAGUUGCACCUGUGUCAUAGAUGGAGAUGGUACAGUGAAGGAGCUAGAGACAAG
Rosa rugosa (rugosa rose) is the source of this 334-nucleotide long non-coding RNA. RefSeq lists it as uncharacterized. The record is from RefSeq and is a predicted model, not a curated record. NCBI's taxonomy places the organism in Eukaryota, Viridiplantae, Streptophyta, Magnoliopsida, Rosales, Rosaceae. The transcript is spliced from 3 exons.